GAGGAAGUAAAAUAAUCAGUUUAGUAGCAUAGUCUCCAGGAAUUAUAGUUGCGAGUUCGAAUCUCGCCUUCCUCU
RNAcentral lists this transfer RNA (75 nucleotides) under Flavobacterium sp. RNAcentral's name for it is "tRNA-Trp". It matches the Rfam family "tRNA". From Rfam's summary of the family: Transfer RNA (tRNA) molecules are approximately 80 nucleotides in length. Their secondary structure includes four short double-helical elements and three loops (D, anti-codon, and T loops). Lineage: Bacteria; Pseudomonadati; Bacteroidota; Flavobacteriia; Flavobacteriales; Flavobacteriaceae. RNAcentral also lists the same sequence under 2 other names. The record is from RNAcentral.